Molecule: long non-coding RNA, 4144 nt
Filed under: Sus scrofa (pig)
Lineage: Eukaryota; Metazoa; Chordata; Mammalia; Artiodactyla; Suidae
Description: lncRNA (ENSSSCG00060018994.1)
Source: RNAcentral
AAACCCGACUGAUAUCCAUGAGGACGAUGCGGGUUCGAUCGUGGCCUUGCUCAGUGGGUUAAAGAUCCGGUGUUGCCAUGAGCUGUGGUAUAGCUUGCAGAUGCAGCUCAGAUCCUUUGUGGCUGUGGAUGUGGCGUAGGCUGCAGCUCCGAUUAGACCCCUAGCCUGGGAAAUUGCAUAUGCCGCAGGUGCAGCCCUAAAAAAGGAAAAAGAAGCUUCUGAUAUAUUUUCUGUACAACAGAAAAAUGUCACUAAUUCAUUCCUGUUUUAAGGAACCUCAAGUAUUUGCAAAUCCAAAGUUGAAAACUAGAGUCUAAAUGCAAUGUGGUAUCCUGAUUAGAUCCGGGAACAGAAAAAGGAUUUUGGUGGAAAAACUGGUGAAAUCUGAAAUUUAGUUAUUAAUAUUGUACUUCUGUUAAUGUAUGACUUUUGACAAAUCCAUGAUUGUAACACUGGAGGGAGCUGGGUAAAGGAACCCUAUUAUUUCUGUAACUUUUUUUCUGAAGUCCAAAAUUACUUCAGAAUAAAAACUUAAGAAAAUUAAAGGAUAACCUUCUACUGAAUUUCACGGGCAUUUUUUCCCGUGUCCUAACUAGCCAUGUGGUCUCAAGCACAUCAUUUCAUCUCUCUGGAUCCGAGUUUUGCAGCUGUUUUAAAAAUCAGGAGGGUGUCCACUGCUGGCUCAGCAGGUUAAGGAUCCAGUGUUGUCACUACUCUGGCUUGAGUCACUACAGUGGUACAGGUUCAGUUUCUGGCCCAGGAACCUCGGUAUGCCACAGGCAUGGACUAAUUAACUUUUUAAAAAAGCAGGAGGGACAGGGAGUUCCUGUCAUGGCUCAGUGGUUAACGAAUCCAACUGGGAACCAUGAGGUUUCAGGUUCGAUCCCUGGCCUCGCUCAGUGGGACUCUGAUUAGACCCCUAGCCUGAGAACCUCCAUAUGCCACAGGUGCGGGCUGCCCUAGAUAAGACAGUAAAUAAAUAAAAUGCCACCUUUAAAAAAAAAAAGGGCAGGAAGGACAGAAACCCAAUCCUCUCCAACUUCCCCGUCAAGCUCUAAAAUUCUCAGAUCCUGACAUUUCUGCUGUGGCACAACGGGCUAACGACCCAACAUUGUUUCUUUGGAGGCCCCAGUUCAGUCCCUGGCCAAGCCCAGUGGGAUAUGAGUCCAGCUGUGGCAUAGGUGGCAGCCAUGGGUCAGAUUCUAUCCCUGGCCUGGGGAGCUUCAUAUACCAUGGGGGUGACCAAAGAAAAAAAAUUAUAAAUAAAUAAAAUUCUCAGAUCCUAAUACGUUUACAGCAUGAUUCAGUUUACAAGGGUUUGAUCUGCAGUGACCUCUCAUUCACCUCCCCGAGCCCCCCCAUCCAGCAUUAGCACCUACUGUGCUCCCUAAAAGUUUUUGAAACUAAACUGUCGCAUGGAGUUCCCAUCGUGACUCAGCAGUAAUGAACUUGACUAAUAUCCAUGAGGACAAGGGUUCAGUCUCUGGCUCGAUUAGUGGGUUAAAGAUCCGGCGUUGCUAUGGAGCUCCGAUGUAGAUUGCAGACUAGGCUUGGAUCUGGUGUGGCUGUGGCUAGUCAGGCAGCUGCAGCUCCAAUUCGACCCCUAGCCUGGGAACUUCCAUAUGCACGGGAGCGGCCUUAAAAAGACAUUCAACCAAUCAAUCAACUGGCUUAUACCUCUUUGUACAGUGAGGUGGUACUGUUACCUCUUUCACUCAGUUGGCCACUAGAGAGCGAAAUACUCAAAAUUUCCUCCAUAGAAAGCAAAUUCAUAUCCAUCCAGCAGAGGGGAGCGGUUCUUUCCAGGUCUGGCAUGUAAAAAAUCUCUUCCUGGUUGGGGAGGUGGGGGUCACCAUCUGUGAGCAGUUACCUCCCAUCAGUUGGGGUGCCUGGAAGCUUCCAGAAGACAGGAUGACACCACACACACACAAAGCACUCAGCAGCCUCAAAAGUAUAAACCAUGGCUAUGGAUGGGAGACUGAACUACAAACAGGCGAGCCCUACCUACUUCCUCUGAGGUCUUCUUAGAGGUCUUGUCCCAUUUUCUGAACAAUGGUCUUAACCUUUUUUUUUUUUUUGCUUUCUAGGGCAACCCCUGCAGCAUAAGGAAGUUCCCAGGCUAGGGGUUGAAUCAGAGCUGCAGCUGCCAGCCUACACCACAGCCAUAGACAUGCAGGAUCCGAGCUGUAUCUGCAACCUAUGCUGCAAUUCACGGCAACGCCAGAUCCUUUAACCCACUGAGCAAGGCCAGGAAUCAAAACCGCAUCCUCAUGGAUACUAGUCAGGUUCGUAACACUGAGCCACAAUGGGAACUCCUUUUUUUUAAAGAUCUCACUUUUAAAGGGCCAGCUACAGGAGUUCCCUUGUGGUCCAGGGGGUUAAGAAUCUGGCAUUGUCACUGCAGUGUCUCAGGCUGCUGCUAUAGUCCAGGGUUGUUGUUUUUUUGUUGUUGUUUUUUUUUUUUUGGGGGGGUUUUUUUUUUUUUUUUUUUUUGCUUUUUAGGGCCAAACCAGUGGCAUAUGGAGAUUCCCAGGCUAGGGGCCAAAUUGGAGCUGUAGCUACCAGCCUAUGCCACAGACACAGCAAUGUCAGAUCCAAGCCAUGUCUGCAGCCCACACCACAGCUCACAGCAAGGCCAGAUCUUUAACCCACUGAGCAAGGCCAGGGAUCGAACCUGCGUGUCAGAUUCGUUUCCUCUGAGCCAUGACGGGAGCUCCUGUGGUCCCCGUUUGAUCCCUGCCCUGGGAACGUCCACCUGCUGCAAGCACAGGCAAAAAAAAAGGGGGGGGGUGGCAGUUACAAAAAUUGACUAAAACCUUUACAACCAAAAUGAGAAAGCAUUAGCAGUGCAGCCCCCAGCAGCACAGGACUGAGCCUGGGCGACCUGCAAUUUUGUGUAUAGUGAAGCAUUCGAGGCCCCAGUCUGGAGACAAGCAUCCUGGGUUUAAAAUGUUGCCUCAGACCCCAGACUCCACACUCACGUGCUCACAUACACAUGAAUGUGGUCGGUGGCCCUGUGACCGUGGGCAGGUCUCUACUGCAGGAGUAACCGCAUCCACACAGCGUGGGCUGUGAGGAUGGCUGAGCGGUGACUGCUCUGAUCAGGGAACAGCCGACCUGGACCACGUCAAGAGGAGCAGAAGGGCAAGGCACUUCCAUUUCAUCGGCAUAAGAACUCUGGGGUGGACAGCACAAGAAACUUGGGCUCUGAGUUCUCUGCAAAGCGGGGCUCUUUUCCUGUAAAUGGAGUACCCGUUCUCAGGCAUGGAAAAGCACCUCCGCCUAAAAUUCUUUUUUUCUGGCCACAUCCACAGCAUGCAGAGUUCCCAGGCCAGAGAUCAAACCGAGCCACAGCAGCAAGCAGAGCCACGGCAGUGACACCACCAGAUCCUCAACCCGUUGCCCCACCCGGGAACUCCCUAAAACAGUUGUCAGUCACAGUGCCUGAGCUAUCACUUGAGUUACUCCUUAAGGCUAAGUCCUUUCAUCUCCCAGCAGAAUAACUGAAACUGAAGCCAGUGUCAAGCCUUGGGCUGCAUCGUUUAAUAGUACUUAUCACAUUAAUUUAGAAAAUUCAGAGUAGGAUCACCCCCCCCAGGGCAUAGAAUGGGAGACAGAAACAUUAAAAUAUUCCAGUAUAAACUGCAGCCUGAUGAUUUGCUGGAAAGCAGCUUGGACAGGGCAUAUCUGAGGCCUGAGAAGGGGGCAAAAAAGAACACAGGGAAAAGCAGAGGGGCAUCUGGGCACUGCUAGAAAAGUUCAAGGCACUCAAGGCUCAAAAGCUAAAAGGCCCUAAGGCUGAGUGCCCUGGGGGUGUUCGUAUCCCCAGCAAAUCACAGAAAAAGAUGACUGUCAGAAAUCCUGAGUCAGGGAGUUCCUGUCGAGGCAGAGCAGAAACAAAUCCUACUAGGAACCAUGAGGUUGAGGGUUCAAUCCCUGGCCUCACUCAGUGGGUUAAGGAUCUGGCAUUGCCGUGAGCUGUAGUGUAGGUCACAGACAUGGCUCAGAUCUGACACUGCUGUGGCUCUGGCACAGGCCUGCAGAUACAGCUCCAAUUCGACCCCGAGCCUGGAAACCUCCAUAUGGAGCAAAUGCAGCCCUAAAAAGACAAAGAAAAAAGGAUAAAGAAAAAGAAAAAAAAAAA